GUCGGGAUAGCUCAGUUGGUAGAGCAGAGGACUGAAAUUCUCUG
RNAcentral lists this transfer RNA (44 nucleotides) under Orobanche lycoctoni. Its description in RNAcentral is "partial tRNA-Phe". The record is from RNAcentral. Lineage: Eukaryota; Viridiplantae; Streptophyta; Magnoliopsida; Lamiales; Orobanchaceae. RNAcentral also lists the same sequence under 1 other name.